RNAcentral lists this non-coding RNA (101 nucleotides) under Pelosinus fermentans. RNAcentral's name for it is "TPP sequence". It matches the Rfam family "TPP riboswitch aptamer (THI element)". Rfam says of the family: Vitamin B(1) in its active form thiamin pyrophosphate (TPP) is an essential coenzyme that is synthesised by coupling of pyrimidine and thiazole moieties in bacteria. The previously detected thiamin-regulatory element, thi box was extended, resulting in a new, highly conserved RNA secondary structure, the THI element, which is widely distributed in eubacteria and also occurs in some archaea. Lineage: Bacteria; Bacillati; Bacillota; Negativicutes; Selenomonadales; Sporomusaceae. The record is from RNAcentral.
UAAUAAUGCUGGGGGAGCCGUUUGGCAGAGCGGGAAGAAAUUCCUGACCCUUUGAACCUGAUGUGGUUAGUACCAACGUAGGGAAGCUAAUAUUAUAUUUA